UGAAAACAAGCUUUUAGCAUUUCAUUUACACUGAAAAGAUUCUUGGUAAUCCAAGGUUUUCAA
Molecule: transfer RNA, 63 nt
Filed under: Octolasmis warwickii
Lineage: Eukaryota; Metazoa; Arthropoda; Thecostraca; Poecilasmatidae
Description: tRNA-Val
Source: RNAcentral